Molecule: non-coding RNA, 72 nt
Organism: Salmo salar (Atlantic salmon)
Lineage: Eukaryota; Metazoa; Chordata; Actinopteri; Salmoniformes; Salmonidae
Source: Rfam
GGCUCGUUGGUCUAGGGGUAUGAUUCUCGCUUUGGGUGCAAGAAGUCCCGGGUUCAAAUCCCGGACGAGCCC